UACGAGUGCUCCAAGCGUUAUCCGGAAUCAUUGGGCGUAAAGGGUGUGUAGGCGGUCUUAUUAGUCUUCUGUCAAAACUCCCGGCUUAACCUGGAAUCUGCAGAGGAAACGGUAAGACUUGAGGAUGCGAGAGGUGAAUGGAACUCAUAGUGUAGGGGUGAAAUCCGUUGAUAUUAUGGGGAACACCAAAAGCGAAGGCAAUUCACUGGCGCACUCCUGACGCUGAAACACGAAAGCGUGGGUAGCGAAUGGG
RNAcentral lists this ribosomal RNA (253 nucleotides) under uncultured bacterium. Its description in RNAcentral is "partial 16S ribosomal RNA". It matches the Rfam family "Bacterial small subunit ribosomal RNA", at positions 524 to 776 of the family's 1533-position model. The record is from RNAcentral.